This 2902-nucleotide ribosomal RNA is filed under the name Klebsiella quasipneumoniae. RNAcentral describes it as "23S ribosomal RNA". It matches the Rfam family "Bacterial large subunit ribosomal RNA". Lineage: Bacteria; Pseudomonadati; Pseudomonadota; Gammaproteobacteria; Enterobacterales; Enterobacteriaceae. The record is from RNAcentral.
GGUUAAGCGACUAAGCGUACACGGUGGAUGCCCUGGCAGUCAGAGGCGAUGAAGGACGUGCUAAUCUGCGAAAAGCGUCGGUAAGGUGAUAUGAACCGUUAUAACCGGCGAUGUCCGAAUGGGGAAACCCAGUGCAAUUCGUUGCACUAUCGUUAACUGAAUACAUAGGUUAACGAGGCGAACCGGGGGAACUGAAACAUCUAAGUACCCCGAGGAAAAGAAAUCAACCGAGAUUCCCCCAGUAGCGGCGAGCGAACGGGGAGCAGCCCAGAGUCUGAAUCAGCUUGUGUGUUAGUGGAACGGUCUGGAAAGUCCGACGGUACAGGGUGAUAGUCCCGUACACCAAAAUGCACAGGCUGUGAACUCGAAGAGUAGGGCGGGACACGUGGUAUCCUGUCUGAAUAUGGGGGGACCAUCCUCCAAGGCUAAAUACUCCUGACUGACCGAUAGUGAACCAGUACCGUGAGGGAAAGGCGAAAAGAACCCCGGCGAGGGGAGUGAAAAAGAACCUGAAACCGUGUACGUACAAGCAGUGGGAGCACCUUCGGGUGUGACUGCGUACCUUUUGUAUAAUGGGUCAGCGACUUAUAUUCUGUAGCAAGGUUAACCGUAUAGGGGAGCCGCAGGGAAACCGAGUCUUAACUGGGCGUUAAGUUGCAGGGUAUAGACCCGAAACCCGGUGAUCUAGCCAUGGGCAGGUUGAAGGUUGGGUAACACUAACUGGAGGACCGAACCGACUAAUGUUGAAAAAUUAGCGGAUGACUUGUGGCUGGGGGUGAAAGGCCAAUCAAACCGGGAGAUAGCUGGUUCUCCCCGAAAGCUAUUUAGGUAGCGCCUCGUGAACUCAUCUUCGGGGGUAGAGCACUGUUUCGGCUAGGGGGUCAUCCCGACUUACCAACCCGAUGCAAACUACGAAUACCGAAGAAUGUUAUCACGGGAGACACACGGCGGGUGCUAACGUCCGUCGUGAAGAGGGAAACAACCCAGACCGCCAGCUAAGGUCCCAAAGUCAUGGUUAAGUGGGAAACGAUGUGGGAAGGCACAGACAGCCAGGAUGUUGGCUUAGAAGCAGCCAUCAUUUAAAGAAAGCGUAAUAGCUCACUGGUCGAGUCGGCCUGCGCGGAAGAUGUAACGGGGCUAAACCAUGCACCGAAGCUGCGGCAGCGACACGAUGUGUUGUUGGGUAGGGGAGCGUUCUGUAAGCCUGCGAAGGUGACCUGUGAGGGUUGCUGGAGGUAUCAGAAGUGCGAAUGCUGACAUAAGUAACGAUAAAGCGGGUGAAAAGCCCGCUCGCCGGAAGACCAAGGGUUCCUGUCCAACGUUAAUCGGGGCAGGGUGAGUCGACCCCUAAGGCGAGGCCGAAAGGCGUAGUCGAUGGGAAACAGGUUAAUAUUCCUGUACUUGGUGUUACUGCGAAGGGGGGACGGAGAAGGCUAUGUUAGCCGGGCGACGGUUGUCCCGGUUUAAGCAUGUAGGCUGAUUAUCCAGGCAAAUCCGGAUAAUCAAGGCUGAGGUGUGAUGACGAGGCACUACGGUGCUGAAGUAACAAAUGCCCUGCUUCCAGGAAAAGCCUCUAAGCAUCAGGUAACAUCAAAUCGUACCCCAAACCGACACAGGUGGUCAGGUAGAGAAUACCAAGGCGCUUGAGAGAACUCGGGUGAAGGAACUAGGCAAAAUGGUGCCGUAACUUCGGGAGAAGGCACGCUGGUGUGUAGGUGAAGUCCCUGCGGAUGGAGCUGAGACCAGUCGAAGAUACCAGCUGGCUGCAACUGUUUAUUAAAAACACAGCACUGUGCAAACACGAAAGUGGACGUAUACGGUGUGACGCCUGCCCGGUGCCGGAAGGUUAAUUGAUGGGGUUAUCCGUAAGGAGAAGCUCUUGAUCGAAGCCCCGGUAAACGGCGGCCGUAACUAUAACGGUCCUAAGGUAGCGAAAUUCCUUGUCGGGUAAGUUCCGACCUGCACGAAUGGCGUAAUGAUGGCCAGGCUGUCUCCACCCGAGACUCAGUGAAAUUGAACUCGCUGUGAAGAUGCAGUGUACCCGCGGCAAGACGGAAAGACCCCGUGAACCUUUACUAUAGCUUGACACUGAACAUUGAGCCUUGAUGUGUAGGAUAGGUGGGAGGCUUUGAAGCGUGGACGCCAGUCUGCGUGGAGCCAACCUUGAAAUACCACCCUUUAAUGUUUGAUGUUCUAACGUUGGCCCCUUAUCGGGGUUGCGGACAGUGUCUGGUGGGUAGUUUGACUGGGGCGGUCUCCUCCCAAAGCGUAACGGAGGAGCACGAAGGUUAGCUAAUCCUGGUCGGACAUCAGGAGGUUAGUGCAAUGGCAUAAGCUAGCUUGACUGCGAGCGUGACGGCGCGAGCAGGUGCGAAAGCAGGUCAUAGUGAUCCGGUGGUUCUGAAUGGAAGGGCCAUCGCUCAACGGAUAAAAGGUACUCCGGGGAUAACAGGCUGAUACCGCCCAAGAGUUCAUAUCGACGGCGGUGUUUGGCACCUCGAUGUCGGCUCAUCACAUCCUGGGGCUGAAGUAGGUCCCAAGGGUAUGGCUGUUCGCCAUUUAAAGUGGUACGCGAGCUGGGUUUAGAACGUCGUGAGACAGUUCGGUCCCUAUCUGCCGUGGGCGCUGGAGAAUUGAGGGGGGCUGCUCCUAGUACGAGAGGACCGGAGUGGACGCAUCACUGGUGUUCGGGUUGUCAUGCCAAUGGCACUGCCCGGUAGCUAAAUGCGGAAGAGAUAAGUGCUGAAAGCAUCUAAGCACGAAACUUGCCCCGAGAUGAGUUCUCCCUGAGACUUUAAGUCUCCUGAAGGAACGUUGAAGACGACGACGUUGAUAGGCCGGGUGUGUAAGCGCAGCGAUGCGUUGAGCUAACCGGUACUAAUGAACCGUGAGGCUUAACCUU